Molecule: ribosomal RNA, 694 nt
Filed under: uncultured bacterium
Lineage: Bacteria
Description: bacterial SSU rRNA
Rfam family: Bacterial small subunit ribosomal RNA
Source: RNAcentral
AACGCUAGCUACAGGCUUAACACAUGCAAGUCGAGGGGCAACAUGAACUUAGCUUGCUAAGUUUGAUGGCGACCGGCGCACGGGUGAGUAACACGUAUCCAACCUUCCGUUUACUCAGGGAUAGCCUUUCGAAAGAAAGAUUAAUACCUGAUAGUAUGGUGAGAUUGCAUGAUAACACCAUUAAAGAUUUAUUGGUAAACGAUGGGGAUGCGUUCCAUUAGGUAGUAGGCGGGGUAACGGCCCACCUAGCCGACGAUGGAUAGGGGUUCUGAGAGGAAGGUCCCCCACAUUGGAACUGAGACACGGUCCAAACUCCUACGGGAGGCAGCAGUGAGGAAUAUUGGUCAAUGGGCGAGAGCCUGAACCAGCCAAGUAGCGUGAAGGAUGAAGGUCUUACGGAUUGUAAACUUCUUUUAUACGGGAAUAAAGUAUCCUACGUGUAGGAUUCCGUAUGUACCGUAUGAAUAAGCAUCGGCUAACUCCGUGCCAGCAGCCGCGGUAAUACGGAGGAUGCGAGCGUUAUCCGGAUUUAUUGGGUUUAAAGGGAGCGCAGACGGGAGAUUAAGUCAGUUGUGAAAGUUUGCGGCUCAACCGUAAAAUUGCAGUUGAUACUGGUUUCCUUGAGUGCAGUUGAGGCAGGCGGAAUUCGUGGUGUAGCGGUGAAAUGCUUAGAUAUCACGAAGAACUCCGAUUG